UGUGCUUCAUAAUGGUGAACUCUCUUAGAUUAUAAAAGUGAGAGAAGUUCAAGUUUCCGGAGCAAAGAUUAAUCUGGCCAGAAUUUUAACAGCACUGUGUUUAUAUAUCUCUGUAAUGUUUACAGUGUUACCUGUCUUCUGGUAUAUUU
Non-coding RNA from Brassica napus (rape), 149 nucleotides. The record is from Rfam. Lineage: Eukaryota; Viridiplantae; Streptophyta; Magnoliopsida; Brassicales; Brassicaceae.